GACGAACGCUGGCGGCGUGCCUAAUACAUGCAAGUAGAACGCACAGUUUAUACCGUAGCUUGCUACACCAUAAACUGUGAGUUGCGAACGGGUGAGUAACGCGUAGGUAACCUGCCUGGUAGCGGGGGAUAACUAUUGGAAACGAUAGCUAAUACCGCAUAAUAUUGAUUAUUGCAUGAUAAUUGAUUGAAAGAUGCUAUUGCAUCACUACCAGAUGGACCUGCGUUGUAUUAGCUAGUAGGUGAGGUAACGGCUCACCUAGGCGAGGAUACAUAGCCGACCGGAGAGGGUGAUCGGCCACACUGGGACGGAGACACGGCCCAGACGCCUACGGGAGGCAGCAGUAGGGAAGCUUCGGCAAGGGACGAAAGUCUGACCGAGAAACGCCGCGGGAGUGAAGAAGGGUGUCGGAUCGGAAAGCUCUGUUGUAAGAGAAGAACGGGUGUGAGAGUGGAAAGUUCACACUGUGACGGUAACUUACCAGAAAGGGACGGCUAACUACGUG
RNAcentral lists this ribosomal RNA (505 nucleotides) under uncultured bacterium. RNAcentral's name for it is "partial 16S ribosomal RNA". It matches the Rfam family "Bacterial small subunit ribosomal RNA", at positions 28 to 507 of the family's 1533-position model. The record is from RNAcentral.